UACAGAAGAUGUAAGCGUUAUCCGGAAUUAUUGGGCGUAAAGCGUCUGUAGAUGGUUUAAUAAGUUUAAUGUUAAAGAUUAGAGCUUAACUUUAAAACGGCAUUAAAAACUGUUAAACUUGAGUACGAUAGAGGUAGAGGGAAUUUUCAGUGUAGCGGUGAAAUGCGUAGAUAUUGGAAAGAACACCAACGGCGAAAGCACUCUACUAGGUUGAUACUGACAUUGAGAGACGAAAGCCAGGGGAGCAAAACGG
This 253-nucleotide ribosomal RNA is filed under the name uncultured bacterium. RNAcentral describes it as "partial 16S ribosomal RNA". It matches the Rfam family "Bacterial small subunit ribosomal RNA", at positions 524 to 776 of the family's 1533-position model. The record is from RNAcentral.